AGAUGAAGAAUGCACUCUGCUUACUGCUGCUCUCAUUCAGCCUACAACGCAUAAAAUGUCAAAGUAUGGAGUCCACUGAAAGCACAGUUCAGAAAAAGCCUGGAGAAACUCUGACUCUGUCCUGUAGAGGAUCCGGGUUCAGCUUUGGCUGCUGUAGCAUGCACUGGAUCAGACAACAAGCUGGAAAACCACUUGUGUGGAUGGGACGUGUUAAUAGUGACAGCAGUGGCUAUGACUACUCUGAAUCCUUCAAAAGUCGAACUGAAAUCACCAGAGAUAAUUCAAAGAGUAUGGUGUAUCUGAAACUAUCAGGCCUGACAGCAGACGACUCAGCCGUGUAUUAUUGUGCAAAGCAAGCACAGUGA
Molecule: non-coding RNA, 365 nt
Organism: Sinocyclocheilus grahami
Lineage: Eukaryota; Metazoa; Chordata; Actinopteri; Cypriniformes; Cyprinidae
Source: the annotation of a RefSeq genome assembly